AGAGUUUGAUCCUGGCUCAGAUUGAACGCUGGCGGCAUGCCUUACACAUGCAAGUCGAACGGCAGCACGGGAGCAAUCCUGGUGGCGAGCGGCGAACGGGUGAGUAAUAUAUCGGAACGUGCCCAGUCGUGGGGGAUAACGUAGCGAAAGCUACGCUAAUACCGCAUACGAUCUACGGAUGAAAGCGGGGGACCUGUAAGGGCCUCGCGCGAUUGGAGCGGCCGAUAUCAGAUUAGGUUGUUGGUGAGGUAAAAGCUCACCAAGCCUGCGAUCUGUAGCUGGUCUGAGAGGACGACCAGCCACACUGGAACUGAGACACGGUCCAGACUCCUACGGGAGGCAGCAGUGGGGAAUUUUGGACAAUGGACGCAAGUCUGAUCCAGCAAUGCCGCGUGCAGGACGAAGGCCUUCGGGUUGUAAACUGCUUUUGUACGGAACGAAACGGUCUGCUUUAAUACAGUGGGCUAAUGACGGUACCGUAAGAAUAAGCACCGGCUAACUACGUGCCAGCAGCCGCGGUAAUACGUAGGGUGCGAGCGUUAAUCGGAAUUACUGGGCGUAAAGCGUGCGCAGGCGGUUAUAUAAGACAGAUGUGAAAUCCCCGGGCUCAACCUGGGACCUGCAUUUGUGACUGUAUAGCUAGAGUACGGUAGAGGGGGAUGGAAUUCCGCGUGUAGCAGUGAAAUGCGUAGAUAUGCGGAGGAACACCGAUGGCGAAGGCAAUCCCCUGGACCUGUACUGACGCUCAUGCACGAAAGCGUGGGGAGCAAACAGGAUUAGAUACCCUGGUAGUCCACGCCCUAAACGAUGUCAACUGGUUGUUGGGUCUUCACUGACUCAGUAACGAAGCUAACGCGUAAGUGACCCGCCUGGA
Molecule: ribosomal RNA, 874 nt
Filed under: uncultured bacterium
Lineage: Bacteria
Description: bacterial SSU rRNA
Rfam family: Bacterial small subunit ribosomal RNA
Source: RNAcentral